AUUGAACGCUGGCGGCAGGCCUAACACAUGCGAGUCGAGCGGAUGAAGGGAGCUUGCUCCUGGAUUCAGCGGCGGACGGGUGAGUAAUGCCUAGGAAUCUGCCUGGUAGUGGGGGAUAACGUCCGGAAACGGGCGCUAAUACCGCAUACGUCCUGAGGGAGAAAGUGGGGGAUCUUCGGACCUCACGCUAUCAGAUGAGCCUAGGUCGGAUUAGCUAGUUGGUGGGGUAAAGGCCUACCAAGGCGACGAUCCGUAACUGGUCUGAGAGGAUGAUCAGUCACACUGGAACUGAGACACGGUCCAGACUCCUACGGGAGGCAGCAGUGGGGAAUAUUGGACAAUGGGCGAAAGCCUGAUCCAACCAUGCCGCGUGUGUGAAGAAGGUCUUCGGAUUGUAAAGCACUUUAAGUUGGGAGGAAGGGCAGUAAGUUAAUACCUUGCUGUUUUGACGUUACCAACAGAAUAAGCACCGGCUAACUUCGUG
Molecule: ribosomal RNA, 484 nt
Filed under: uncultured bacterium
Lineage: Bacteria
Description: partial 16S ribosomal RNA
Rfam family: Bacterial small subunit ribosomal RNA
Source: RNAcentral